UGAGCCAAAAUAAGUCUUCCCUCCCUGAAG
This 30-nucleotide non-coding RNA is filed under the name Mus musculus (house mouse). Lineage: Eukaryota; Metazoa; Chordata; Mammalia; Rodentia; Muridae. The record is from RNAcentral.